CCUACGGGAGGCAGCAGUAGGGAAUAUUGCUCAAUGGGGGAAACCCUGAAGCAGCAACGCCGCGUGGAGGAUGAAGGUUUUCGGAUUGUAAACUCCUUUUGUUAGAGAAGAUAAUGACGGUAUCUAACGAAUAAGCACCGGCUAACUCCGUGCCAGCAGCCGCGGUAAUACGGAGGGUGCAAGCGUUACUCGGAAUCACUGGGCGUAAAGGGCGCGUAGGCGGGAUAGCAAGUCAGAUGUGAAAUCCUAUGGCUUAACCAUAGAACUGCAUUUGAAACUGUUAUUCUAGAGUAUGGGAGAGGUAGGUGGAAUUCUUGGUGUAGGGGUAAAAUCCGUAGAUAUCAAGAGGAAUACUCAUUGCGAAGGCGACCUGCUAGAACAUACCUGACGCUGAUGCGCGAAAGCGUGGGGAGCAAACAGGAUUAGAUACCCCAGUAGUC
RNAcentral lists this ribosomal RNA (440 nucleotides) under uncultured bacterium. RNAcentral describes it as "partial 16S ribosomal RNA". It matches the Rfam family "Bacterial small subunit ribosomal RNA", at positions 338 to 795 of the family's 1533-position model. The record is from RNAcentral.